Molecule: transfer RNA, 72 nt
Filed under: Camelus bactrianus (Bactrian camel)
Lineage: Eukaryota; Metazoa; Chordata; Mammalia; Artiodactyla; Camelidae
Also listed under: 2 other names
Rfam family: tRNA
About the family: Transfer RNA (tRNA) molecules are approximately 80 nucleotides in length. Their secondary structure includes four short double-helical elements and three loops (D, anti-codon, and T loops).
Source: Rfam by way of RNAcentral
AUGGGUAUAGCUCAGUGGUAGAGCACAUGUUUAGCAUGUAUGCAGUCCUGUAUUCAAUCUCCAGUACCUUCA